CAGUAAUUAGCCAGAGACCAAAAUUCAAAUACACAAUGGAUUUUCGGGUGCAGGUAUUCAACUUCCUGCUGAUCAGUAUCACAGUGUCCAGUGGAGAAAUUAUACUCACCCAGUCUCCAACAAUUAUGGCUGCAUCUCUAGGAGAGAAGAUCACCAUCACCUGCAGUGCCAGCUCAAGUUUAAGUUAUAUGUACUGGUACCAGCAGAAGUCAGGCGCUUCUCCCAAACUCUGGGUACAUAGGACAUCCAACCUGGCUUCUGGAGUCCCAGAUCGCUUCAGUGGCAGUGGGUCUGGGACCUCUUAUUAUCUCACAAUCAGUACAAUGGAGGCUGAAGAUGCUGCCACUUAUUUCUGCCAUCAGUGGAGUAGUAGCCAGCCCACACAGUGAUACAGACUUGAACAGAAACCCUCUAAUUCCUCAGGGCCUAGCAACU
Non-coding RNA from Rattus norvegicus (Norway rat), 435 nucleotides. The record is from the annotation of a RefSeq genome assembly. NCBI's taxonomy places the organism in Eukaryota, Metazoa, Chordata, Mammalia, Rodentia, Muridae.